ACAUGCAAGUCGAACGAUCACUUAGGUGGGUAGCAAUUAUUCGCUAGGUGGGAGUGGCGCAAGGGGUGCGUAACACGGUUGGGUUAAUUUGCCAUGAAGUCUGGAAUAACUUGCUGAAAGGCGAGCUAAUACCGGAUGUGAUUACUGGAAGGCAUCUUCUGGUACUUAAAGUCGGGGACCGUAAGGCCUGACACUUCUUGAUAAGCCCGCGGCCUAUCAGCUAGUUGGUGGGGUAACGGCUCACCAAGGCUAAGACGGGUAGCUGGUCUGAGAGGACGACCAGCCUCACUGGAACUGAGACACGGUCCAGACACCUACGGGUGGCAGCAGUCGAGAAUUUUUCUCAAUGGGGGAAACCCUGAAGGAGCGACGCCGCGUGGGGGAUGAAUGGCUUCGGCCCGUAAACCCCUGUCAUUUGCGAUCAAACCUUACGACCUAACACGUCGUAAGCUGAUAGUAGCGGAAGAGGAAGGGACGGCUAACUCUGUGCCAGCAGCCGCGGU
This 503-nucleotide ribosomal RNA is filed under the name uncultured bacterium. Its description in RNAcentral is "bacterial SSU rRNA". It matches the Rfam family "Bacterial small subunit ribosomal RNA", at positions 53 to 521 of the family's 1533-position model. The record is from RNAcentral.